Molecule: ribosomal RNA, 101 nt
Filed under: Sphingobacterium sp.
Lineage: Bacteria; Pseudomonadati; Bacteroidota; Sphingobacteriia; Sphingobacteriales; Sphingobacteriaceae
Source: RNAcentral
UAUCGGAGGUGUCUACCUCUUCCCAUGCCGAACAGAGCAGUCAAGCCCGCCAGAGCCGAUGGUAUUGCCGUAACAGGUGGGAGAGUAGGUCGGUGCCUUUU